RNAcentral lists this ribosomal RNA (482 nucleotides) under uncultured bacterium. RNAcentral describes it as "partial 16S ribosomal RNA". It matches the Rfam family "Bacterial small subunit ribosomal RNA", at positions 30 to 507 of the family's 1533-position model. The record is from RNAcentral.
AUUGAACGCUGGCGGCAUGCCUUACACAUGCAAAUCGAACGGUAACGGGCCUUCGGGUGCCGACGAGUGGCGAACGGGUGAGUAAUACAUCGGAACGUGCCCGAUCGUGGGGGAUAACGAGGCGAAAGCUUUGCUAAUACCGCAUACGAUCUACGGAUGAAAGCAGGGGACCGCAAGGCCUUGCGCGGACGGAGCGGCCGAUGGCAGAUUAGGUAGUUGGUGGGAUAAAAGCUUACCAAGCCGACGAUCUGUAGCUGGUCUGAGAGGAUGAUCAGCCACACUGGGACUGAGACACGGCCCAGACUCCUACGGGAGGUAGCAGUGGGGAAUUUUGGACAAUGGGCGCAAGCCUGAUCCAGCCAUGCCGCGUGCAGGAUGAAGGCCUUCGGGUUGUAAACUGAUUUUGUACGGAACGAAAAGCCUUCUUUUAAUACAGGAGGGUCAUGACGGUACCGUAAGAAUAAGCACCGGCUAACUACGUG